Molecule: ribosomal RNA, 789 nt
Filed under: Metarhizium brunneum
Lineage: Eukaryota; Fungi; Ascomycota; Sordariomycetes; Hypocreales; Clavicipitaceae
Description: SSU rRNA
Rfam family: Bacterial small subunit ribosomal RNA
Source: RNAcentral
AUGAAAUUCUAUUAUACCAAAGGGACUUGGUAUAGGCGAAGGCAGCCCUCUAUGUAAAAACUGACGUUGAAGGACGAAGGCACAGAGAACAAACAGGAUUAGAUACCCAAGUAGUCUUUGCAGUAAAUGAUGAAUGUCAUAGGUUAGAUUAAGCUUUAAUUAAUUAGUUUAUCAGUAAUGAACUAACUAUUAAACAAUAUUUAGUCUAUAAAUGAAAGUGUAAGCAUUCCACCUCAAGAGUAAUGUGGCAACGCAGGAACUGAAAUCACUAGACCGUUUCUGACACCAGUAGUGAAGUAUGUUGUUUAAUUCGAUGAUCCACGAAAAACCUUACCACAAUUUGAAUAUUUUACAGGAGUUGCACGGCUGUUUUCAGUUAAUGUUGUGAAACUGUGGUUUCCAUGAAAUUAACGCAAUCCCUGGCUUUAUUUUUUUUUUAUUACGAUAAAGCAUUUGAUCCAGGAUUUGGAAAGAAAAAGGGGACAAAGACAAGUCAUCAUGGCCUUGAUAUUGUGGGCUAUAGACGUGCCACAUAUUCCUACACAAAGAGAUGCAAAAAUGUGAAUUUAAGCUAAUCUCUAAAAAUAGGAUAUAAAUUUUAAGGAUUAUAGUCUGAAACUCGACUAUAUGAAUAAGUAAUUACUAGUAAUCGUGAAUCACCAUGUCACGGUGAAUUUACCUUGGAUUGGUACUAACCACUCGUCACAUGCUGAAAAGAGCAUGCGCAAUAAGUUUGCUUUCUUGAUGAUCAGUAAAAAGAAUAAGCAGGUUCUAUAUUCUAUUAUUAAG